Molecule: long non-coding RNA, 311 nt
Organism: Python bivittatus (Burmese python)
Lineage: Eukaryota; Metazoa; Chordata; Lepidosauria; Squamata; Pythonidae
Source: RefSeq, a predicted model, not a curated record
AAUUACUUUUAUGUAGCUCAAACUUGUUCAUGUUUGUUUGGUGCUACUACAGGAAAACAUCAGAAGAACAGGACAUGUAAAAAGAAAAUUUGCACAAGCAAAACAUAGUGACUUGAAUAAAUUAUGAUGUAAUGUUCCAAUAGAAGAAGAAGAGGAGGAGGAGGAGGUGGUGGCGGCGGCUCCCCAAGAAUAAUGGAUAAGACAUGAGAAGAAGCUGCUGGUGAAGAUGAGGAGACCAAAAAAAACAACCAAACCUUUCCUUCUAUUAACUUUUUAAAACCUUAUUAAAAUCCAAAUCCAGUUUGAGGUAA